RNAcentral lists this ribosomal RNA (301 nucleotides) under uncultured bacterium. RNAcentral describes it as "partial 16S ribosomal RNA". It matches the Rfam family "Bacterial small subunit ribosomal RNA", at positions 509 to 807 of the family's 1533-position model. The record is from RNAcentral.
CAGUAGCCGCGGUAAUACGUAGGUGGCAAGCGUUGUCCGGAUUUAUUGGGCGUAAAGCGAGCGCAGGCGGUGAGUUAAGUCUGCUGUGAAAUCCCCGGGCUCAACCUGGGAAUGGCAGUGGAUACUGGCUCGCUAGAGUGUGUCAGAGGAUGGUGGAAUUCCCGGUGUAGCGGUGAAAUGCGUAGAGAUCGGGAGGAACAUCAGUGGCGAAGGCGGCCAUCUGGGACAACACUGACGCUGAGGCACGAAAGCGUGGGGAGCAAACAGGAUUAGAUACCCCAGUAGUCCCUGUCUCUUAUAC